This 284-nucleotide long non-coding RNA is filed under the name Nicotiana benthamiana. Its description in RNAcentral is "long non-coding RNA (NBEN_LNC006702)". The record is from RNAcentral. Lineage: Eukaryota; Viridiplantae; Streptophyta; Magnoliopsida; Solanales; Solanaceae.
CACUUUAGAAUCAUCAUUUUCCUUUACUAUACCUUCCUUAGCAGCACACACACAUCUUUGCCCAUGGUUCACACACAUAGAUUCAACUUCAUCCCAUAAACCUUUAAGUCUAUUAAAAUAGGAUGCUAUAUCAAGGGACCCUUGAGAGGUGUUGCACAGCUCUCUUUUUAAUUCAUAAAUUUUGGUCCUAUUGGCAGUACCAUAACAUGCCUGAAGUUGUGACCAUAUACUUUCAGCAGUAUCAGAAUAAUGCACGGACUCAGCAUUGCAGGAGAAAUAGAAGC